UAAGUCUUCAACUUCACCUUUAAAGAAAAUUGGAUUAUGACCAUCCUUUUAAUGUCUUAUUAAAAAGGCAAGGAAGAUGGCACUGUUUUAGAAAACUUGAUUCUGGAGAUCAGGAUUUCUCUGAAAAAUUCCUGUAAGGAUUGGUCUUUUUGUAGUUUUGCCCUUUAAUUUAUACAUUAAAAUUCUUGCAAGUGAUUUGGAGGUCAUUUCAUGGUAUCUGAAACCCAAAUAUUGAGAACAAACUAACAUAUACCUGAACUUGAGAGCUUGGAGAGACUAGUUUUUAAGUCUAGGGCAGAUAUACAUAUUUUAUGUACCUUUAAAUCUGAUCUCUCGAGGAGCCAAGAUGGCCGAAUAGGAACAGCUCCGGUCUACAGCUCCCAGCGUGAGCGACACAGAAGACGGGUGAUUUCUGCAUUUCCAUCUGAGAUGAGGAAAUAGAAGUCCAGAGAGUAAAGCAGAUUGCUCAAAGCUAAUAAUGAUGACAGGAAUCAAAGCCAGAGACAGUAAUAAAUAUGGUUGUUUACACCUCUGUACCUCAUAAAGACCUCCAAGCAUUCUGUACACCAGCUCAAGAUGACUUGCUUGAAAUGGAAAAAGGCUGUUUUCAGCAGUAGUUAGCCCCUAUACUGGCAGUGUUUCACAGAAAAGGAAAGUGAAGCUUGGAAAAGUGAAACCACUUGCUCUAAGUGGCAGGAAGAGGUGGCGUUGAACCCCAGGGCUCUUGCAUUCAAAAGCUCUUUUGGAAAGAGAAAAGGAAAAGUGCAGCUGACUGAACUGUGAAGCAAAGGAGCUAAGAAGCCUGGAUGCCAACCCCAAGGGUCCUGAAGAGUCCCAUUGAGGAGCUCCUUACAGCAGAAAGCCCAUUUCUCAGAGGCACAUACAUGGUCCAGAGCCAAGAAGGUCCAGAAAGCAAGACUGCAUCCUUCACCAAGGAAGGUGAUUGUGAUGUGGACACUUCAAGGGGGAACAAAAAAAAAUCUUCCUUUGAAAACCUAACAUUGGCUCUGCCAAUUCAAUUUCACCGAGGUCCUUUGAGAACUGAGUUCAAAGGUUCUCUACAGCUUCCAUUUACUUUGGCAUAAGAUUUAACAGAAAAAGAAUUAAGGGAGAAUUUAUAUGGGCCAGGCUGUUUUCCAAAUCUCAGACUGCUAAAAGUUAUUUAGAAUUUGCUUUAACUUGCAAUCCUAUGUAAAGUGGUUCAGAUGUAAAUGCUUUCCGUGUGGCCUGAGGCAAUCUAGGUUUCCUCAAAUGCACAUGUGCCAUUCGAAUAUUAAAGAUUUUGAUUGGAAAUCUCAAAGUACAUUGGGUUCCUCUUGAUUAGAGACUGCUGUUACUUUAUGCGACAUUGGGUCAGAGGAGGAGAAAUAAAACAUACUGCCUUCAUUUGGGCAUUAUAUUCUCACAGUAGCUCUAACAUAAACAAACUUCACAGGCUGAGAGAAGGGCAUUUGCUCCUUUAAAUUGAGUAUGUAAUGUAAAUAAAUGUCUUCUAAGAAAGGAUGGCUGAAACUUGAUUCUGAGUCUGAACCUAUACAAGGGCACUAAUUUAUUUUAAUGAAGAUCAGUGUGGAGCAUCUGUGGGAGUGCUUGCCUUCUUGAGAUCAGAGCUGGUCUGACCAAAGACGAUCCUUCACUGACUCAGAAAAAUGCCGCUUGGAACUGAUUAGUUCGCUGGCCGGGAGCAAACUGAUAUGUGCAUUUUUAUAUAGGACAAAAUGGAAGGAAUUACCAAAUCUCUUACUGUGUAAUCAAUGGCUGCCUACAGCUAUUUUCAAUUCUCUCUGAGGCAGUGAUUUUGUGACCAGCCAGGGUAGGACUAAAAACCCCUAACCCCAAAUUAAAAGUGAAUGGAGAGAAACUUCAGGCUGGCUGGGGCCAGAGCAAUUAAAUGCGUCCACAAGAAAGAAACUGAAAUGUAGUUUCUGGGGCAGGCUGAGGAGCCAGUCAGGAAGACAGAAGAUCCCCAGCUCCAACAUGACAUCAGGCAUUCUAUUCCAUUGGUGCCACUAUAGACAUCUGAAGCACUUGCAAACAUUCUUACAUAUUUGCUUGUUGUGGGAUAAUCUUUAGAGCAAAAAGGCUGGCCAUGUUCCGAAACGUUUAGGAAUACUUAGAGACAAUGAGCCAAAAGCAAUUCUGACAUCAAAAUGUUAACAAAAUCCAAAAAAGAAUGCUGGAAAAGUGGUUUCAGGUGCUCCCUGGAACAAGGUUUUUCUGCAUGAAAGAGCCCUACCACAAGUGCUGAUAAUCAACUGUGACUGCAUAAAGAGGUUCUUAAGCAGGUUCUUUGGUAUUGCAUGUUUCAUAUACAGGAAUCCUUGCAGCAUGAGAUUCUCUCUGGAGGAGCUGAAGGCAUUAUUAUUUGUGGCUAGCAAUACAUGUUAAAGAACAAGAUUUUUAUCUUUAAGCCUAGAUUCAUUAGCUGUCUAUCAUUCGGCUUUUGAAGACAUAUUAUGCUUUACCUUUUCCAAUAAAAAUAAAAUUAAUACAACUUUCCAUUAAUAGCUAUUAUAUUUCUCUCAUAAUGUAUUAUUAAAUAAAACUGUUCACUAAUUCAUACGCUUUCUGGAGUGAGGCAUAGUGAAUCUGAAAAUUAUAUUUGCUUUAUUCAAAAUUUCAUGUUGUGGCCAGGUGUGGUGGCUCACACCUGUAAUCCUAGCACUUUGGGAGUCCGAGGUGGGCAGAUUGUGUGAGCUCAGGAGUUCGAGACCAGCCUGGGCAACAUGGUGAAAUGCUGUCUCUACUAAAAAUACAAAAAAUUUGCCAGGCGUGGUGGCACGUGCCCGUAGUCCCAGCUACUCAGAAGGCUGAGGCACAAGAAUCAUUUGAACCCAGGAGGCAGAGGUUCCAGUGAGCUGGUAUCGCACCACUGAACUCCAGC
Molecule: long non-coding RNA, 2884 nt
Filed under: Homo sapiens (human)
Lineage: Eukaryota; Metazoa; Chordata; Mammalia; Primates; Hominidae
Description: HSALNT0093616
Source: RNAcentral